UGCCGGGUUGUGUAAUGGUAGCACCACGGACUUUGGAUCCGUUUGUCCAGGUUCGAAUCCUGGCCCGGCAG
This 71-nucleotide transfer RNA is filed under the name Chloroflexus aurantiacus J-10-fl. It matches the Rfam family "tRNA". Rfam says of the family: Transfer RNA (tRNA) molecules are approximately 80 nucleotides in length. Their secondary structure includes four short double-helical elements and three loops (D, anti-codon, and T loops). The record is from Rfam by way of RNAcentral. Lineage: Bacteria; Bacillati; Chloroflexota; Chloroflexia; Chloroflexales; Chloroflexaceae.